GGAUGCCUGCCAUAGAUGCAGGAGAAACGUCAGGAGAAAAUGCCUGUGGAACAAAACCUUCGACACCACAACCAGCAACGAGUUGGCCUCUGCCUGGAUUUGUUGGAACUGUGCUGACUUAAAUAUGAGACCGAGGAAUGGGAUCAUACAUCAUGGAAAAAAAAGCAAUAACAAAGAAAGUGGAAAUGGAACAUGCAACAUGAAGGAACACAAAAGAACUAGAACUGAGUCUCUAGAAAGGAAAUAUAACAUUUCCUGUUUGAAACUUGCAGUGGAGUUCAAAAUGUCUUUAAUCACAUUUUUUUUAAUAAAGGUAUGUUUUUGACCCAAUAAGACUUGAAAUGCUAGGCAUUUGAGAGGAAUGAGAGGAAUAGCUUGAAUCUUACUAAUCACAGAAAAUGAUGUAAAAUAAAGUGGCAUUAUGUAGUAUCCAUCCAUCUUACACAAUUACAAUGAUUCGACUUUAACUGCCAUGGCUGCAUCCUAUGUUAUUCUGGCAUUUGUAGUCUAGUAAGGUACUUGAGUGCUUGGAAAAGAGUUCUCAAUGCCUCUCCCUAAAGUGUAAAUCUCAGAUUCCAUAGAAUGAACUCAUAUUAAUGAAUUUGAAACCAUUGUGCUAUGGUUGAGUAGUGUGAAUGGGCUCCUUGGUCAGGCGACAUGCAAUUCACACUUGGCUGUGAAUUAGAUUUUCUAUGAAGGAAAUGGAGAUGCAGGCACACACCUGGGUCUUAUUAUUGAUCCUAACUGGAGUAGACCCAAUAAAUCAAUAGGUUGUACCUAUACGCUGAUCCUCCCAUUCAAUGAUUCAUUGGGUCUAUUUUAGUUGGGACUGAGUUGUCUUAGAAUCGUACGCAUAUGUUUGAAAUGUGCCACAGUUCUGGUCUUAAAAGGACCAUGAUGUUAUGAAUGAAAGUUAAUCCCUACCAUGUUUUGUACUGUGGUGACAUAUACACAGUCAUAAAAUGUGAACAUUUGUAAUUUACAAACCCACUUAUCAAUACAGUGCUGAAAUAUGCAGUUCUAUCAUACCCUAUUGUUAGAGUGGCAUAAUGAGAACAAACCCUCCAAUUUGAUGGGGAUUCUGCAACACAUGUAAGGUCAUAGCUUUAUGGUCAAUCUUAACCAACAACUAGGUAUAUUUAGUCUUCAUUGAACAGGUGUAACAUAUAAACAAAGCCAACAACACACAGCAUUCUGAUAAAAGGAAAGCAGAAAGAAAACAACAAAAGCAAGGAGGUGAAGACAGGAGCUGAGCUUGAAAGAUAGGGUUGUUGGUCAUUUAUUUUUCCAUGGAACUCAGUGGAGACAACCUUCCAAACCCCAUUGCUAUUCGGUUCUCAUCUAUUUCAGAACAGGAAUCCCACACAUGUUCCAUGAGAAGGCACAGAGUGUGCCCAACAGCAAUACUGGGCAGCUUGUCCCAAAUGGGUCAGCUGGUUUGCAGCUGGAGACCUCUGGCAACUCGAACCCCCUCCUUUACAUUCUUGCUAUGGAUUGAUAUCUCCGAGGACUCAUCCCCCUUUGUUUCUUUCUAAUGCUUCUAUCAUCAGGGCUAAACCAUUGUCACUUCGUGCAGUAAUGUGAGGAAAUACUGCUUCUGUUCAAUGUAAAUCUCAAUUUUAGUCUAUCAUUGAGUUUUAAGGUAACAUAAGACUCAAAUAGCAUUCAGAUUUGAAGAAAGAUCUUCCCUUAAGCUUAGAGUUUUAAAUCAUUGAUCUGUUGUAUUUAUUAGAGGUAUUAUAUAGUUGAAUCAAUUUUAAGUAUUUGACAAAUGUUUUUUUGAGACUAAAGCAUGUCUGCAUAUCCUUGUUGGAAUAAAAGAAAAGGAUUGUGCUAA
This is a long non-coding RNA of Anolis carolinensis (green anole), 1837 nucleotides long. RefSeq lists it as uncharacterized. The record is from RefSeq and is a predicted model, not a curated record. The transcript has 3 exons. Lineage: Eukaryota; Metazoa; Chordata; Lepidosauria; Squamata; Anolidae.